GAUGAACGCUGGCGGCGUGCUUAACACAUGCAAGUCGAACGGACUGCGAGGAGCUUGCUCCUCAAAGUUAGUGGCGGACGGGUGAGUAACGCGUGGGUAACCUGCCCUAUGCAGGGGGAUAACGUUUGGAAACGAACGCUAAUACCGCAUAAUCUAGUCGGUUCGCAUGAACUAACUAGCAAAGAUUUAUCGGCAUAGGAUGGACCCGCGUUGGAUUAGGUAGUUGGUGAGAUAACAGCCCACCAAGGCAACGAUCCAUAGCCGGCCUGAGAGGGUGAACGGCCACACUGGGACUGAGACACGGCCCAGACUCCUACGGAAGGCAGCAGUGGGGGAUAUUGGGCAAUGGGGGCAACCCUGACCCAGCGACGCCGCGUGUGUGAAGAAAUCCUUCGGGAUGUAAAGCCCUGUUGUAUGGGAAGAGUAGAAGACGGUACCAUACGAGGAAGCCCCGGCAAACUACGUGCCAGCCGCCGCUGUAA
This 482-nucleotide ribosomal RNA is filed under the name uncultured bacterium. RNAcentral's name for it is "partial 16S ribosomal RNA". It matches the Rfam family "Bacterial small subunit ribosomal RNA", at positions 28 to 523 of the family's 1533-position model. The record is from RNAcentral.